UUAUUUUUGAAUCGCGUUAUCCAUUCAGUCCUCCUUCGCUUCUCUUCUCUUUGUUCUCGCGCUGUGUCGCAGAGGUGGAUCCAUGGCGGAGAACGGCGGGGGUUCGCCGCAUCCUGCCCGUCCUGCCCCUGAUGCGGCUUGUGGUGCGUGGACGGCAUGUCCUCCUCGCUCGGCGGAGAUGCGGGCAGUUCCUGCGGGGACGCAUCGUCACGCUCGCUCCCUCGCUGGUGUCGGGUUGACGCCGCGAGCGGAGAUGGGGGAGGUUGCCGCUCGCACCCUUCGCCCUCAAUCUGGGAAGAUGUCCGGUACUAUCGAGCGCGGAAGGCAAGUUCGACGCCGGCGACAUGGUUAAUUUCUCUCGGUGUUACUUCUCCCGCGUUUGCUGUUUGUAGAAUUUGAUGUCUCGAUUUCACUGGAAUUAGGGGAUUCCUGGCUCGAUUUCAUAAAGCACGUGGCACACUAUGUAUGUGGUCAUGUGUGGUCAGUGCUAUCAUGUUCAUCUGUCGGGUUUGUUGAUGUUGAUUUGGACGUAGUUAGAUGUGCUCAUUCUGGAUCCAUUGUAUGAAAUUUAUGAUUCGCUGUGAAGUUGGAGAUGUUUCUAGCCUAUGGUAUGAAGUUCAUCUUCAGGUUUUUGUUGAUGUUUGAUUGGAUGUAGGCAGAUUUGCUCAUUCAGGAUCCAUUCUAUGAAAUUUAAGAUGCGGUGUGUAGUUGGAUAUGUUUUUAACCUGCGCUCUGAAGGUCAUCUGCAAGGUUUCGUGAUUAUUAUUGGAGGUAGCCAGAUGGGGGUUUCUAUUACAAGGGGAGUGAUGAGUAUGAGUUUGAUUCUGAGUUAGAUAGCUUUUAGCUUGUUGAUUAUAUUAGGCUUUAGUUGAUUUUCAGGUUUUACGAUUAAAUUGGCUGUACAACACAUGCAAGUUUCCCCGGAUCUGGAUCCACCUGUCUAGAUUAUAGCACAGCUAUACUACUUCGUCCAUGUUGCUGGUGCUUCAGGUAAUCAACAUUGCUAAUACUUAUGCAUGUUAUUGUUGCAUCACAUAAGUCUCCACUGCGUUGUGUAAAUUCUAUUAGUACUACAUGAGUGCUCAUUCUGUUUCUUGUCUGGUUUGUGAAGAUGAUGAUGCACAUGUCCAUGUGGUUUGCUUAAUGUUAUGUAGUGUCUGUGUUAGGAUUUCCUGCAGGUUUUCAUACGCCACCUCUCAUGGAAUCACUCAUGUGAUGUCCAAUGCCUGUCUUGGCAGAUGCAAGUCUAAAUUUAGUAGCUCAAUGAGUUGCCCACUAUGUUUCUGUUAACAAGCCUUGUGGCAUUCUUACAUGUGCACUAUCUGAAUCUUAGGCAGUGUGUAAAUUUUCUCUACACAUGUAUUAUUACUUCUUAUCAUGGAAUCUCCUGGCAGCCGGACUGCAUUUUUUGUGUGAUAGCCUUUGUUACCGUCUUUUAUAUCGAUCCACUAUGUAUAUAUAGGAGAUGCACACCCAUGUUAAAUACAUCAUGGUGAGUUAUGUAUGUGAUCCUCUGAGUUGAUCUUUUUUCGUCUCUGAGUUUUAAUUCUAUGAGAUUCUUAGAUUAUUCAGAAUCUCAGACUGAGUUUUAAUUCUAUGAGAUUCUUAGAUUAUUCAGAAUCUCAGACUGAGUUUUAAUUCUAUGAGAUUCUUAGAUUAUUCAGAAUCUCAGAUUGUUCAGUUAAAGUUCCUUAGUUUAGUCUCUGAGUUAUCACAUUUUGAUUUCUUCAGUCAAAUUUUCUCAGUUUGUCUCAGUUCAUAUUUGCUCAGUAUAAGUUGCUCAGUUAAAGUUUCCUAGUUUAAAUUUCUUCAGUUUUUGAAUGAUUCAGUUAAUAUUUAAUCAUUUUAAAAAACAUUUGCUCAGUUAGUUAUUUUCUCAGUUAAUCUCAGCUUUGCUCAGUUUAUUUUCUCAUAUUUGCUCAGGUUAAGUUUCUCAGUUAAAAUUUCUCAAUUCUUGUUUUCUCAGUUUCAUAUUUUCAUUUCUUCGGUUUAUGUUGCUCAGUAUGUCAGUUAAUAUUGAGCCUUUAGUUCUUCAAUUAUAAUUCUCUCAGUCUCUGAGUUUUAAUUCGCUCUGUUUGCAUUCCAGGUCCCCUUGUAUUCCUCGCCGAUCAGAUCCACCCCGACCUACAGUCAUCUUUUAUUCAUUUUGUCAGUCAUAAUUUUUCUUUUUGGUUUUAAGUCUUCAGUCUCCUCAUUCAUUUAUUUCAUUAUAUUUUUUUUCUGUUGUCAUCAGUCAUCAUUCACUCAUUCAUAUGUAGUUAUUUUUAGUAAUUUCUCAAGUCUUUAAUUGUCACUUUUAUGUGUUCAUGAGUCUUCAAUUCCUUCCUCACAUGGCGCAGCCUUCCAAGCAACCGGCCAUUUGUAGAUCCGGCCAUUUCUAGUCUCCAAUUCCUCUUUCUUCUUUCUAUCUUUCUUCAGUACCUCAGCACCUCAGCCUCUAAGUUUUACUUUUAUUUAGCCUUAGGUCAUCAGUAUUGUCCUAGUAUUAUUCCCUACCUAAAUUUGUCUUCCUCCUUGAGUUUCGUCCACCACUAAAUAUUUUAUCUGUGUUAACUUUCAGUUUUCAUUCCGAAUAUGCAGAUAUGGUGCCAUUUGUGUGGUUUGCCCGGCAUCCUUUACCAGCGGAAAGAGUGUUCUUUCUUCAGUAAUUUUCUUCUUUUGUAUUUCUCUCAAUCUUUUUCUUCAAAUUCUUAUUUCUUGCAUCCCUCACUUUCUCUUUGUCGAGUAUCUUCAAAAGUGUUACUGUUUUUUCUUUAUUAUCUCAUUUCUUUUAAUGUUUCAGUCCUCUGGUUACUUUGUCCUCUCGGCUGUUGAUUGGCUAACCCCUAUGUCUCUUCCCCACGUUACUUCCUCCACUGAGAAUAGAUAUUCGCUUCAUUGUAUUUCCUUUUUCUGCACCUUUUCAGUUUGCAGCGGGUUAAGAUGUGACAUUUUCUUUAAUCUCUUAGUUUAAAUUCUGUUAGUUUUUCACUUAUUUUAUUUUUUAGUGUAAAUUUCUCAAGGAUCCACUCCAACAUACGGCUUGAGGAGUUCUAAGUGACCAGUGACUCUGCUUGAGUAUUCCUAAGGGAUUUUCCAUGCUAAACCGUACCCAGAUAGUAUUUGCUACACUCUGUCAUAAUGUCUAGCACUAUGCAUACGUCCCAGAAUUAACUAGUUCUUUUCAUCCAGAAGUUUAUUUGCAGUCUCUCUCUUCCAUUGUUGGUAUAGGCCCCUUUGUGUCUAUCUGUCCUUUAUUGGUAUAGAGCCCUUGUGUCUAUCUAUCCUUUAUUUGCAGUCUCAGUGUAAUUGCUGAAGCGAUAUAUGUGUUUCCACCUGUAGGUUUAUUACACAAUUACGCAUGGGGUCUAUUGUCUCAUUUCUUCAAAGAAGAACAUUUUCUUAAAAGCCAGGAUGGAUCGAGUAUCACUGUAGAGUGUGUGCAUCUUCUGCCCUAGAACGAAAAAAUCUUCAAAAAAUGAAGAUCCAGAGAGGAGGGACUUCUUGGAAGUAGUGGUUGAAAGAAGUGGUUCGAGCACAUGAACUGUUUUGCUUGCUGGAGAAGAAGGUCGAACAGGUACAAGAUGCACGUGAGCUUUUUACUGAUUAUGGGAUUUCCUCUGUAAUGGGUUUUUCAGAACUCAACAUUGACUCAACUCAGAAAUCAAUGGGACUCAAACACAUGCCGUGUAACGAAAAUGUAUCUGUUUUGCUAGACUGAAACAGACCGUUUUUGAUUAAUUGAGUUGUUUUGUCUGGUGUACAGUUGUCACCAUUUGAUUGUUACUAAAAAAGUGUCUGUUCCCCAAUUGAAAAACAGACGCAUGUUAGAUAGUCACUCCCAAAAA
Long non-coding RNA from Lolium perenne, 3827 nucleotides. RefSeq lists it as uncharacterized. NCBI's taxonomy places the organism in Eukaryota, Viridiplantae, Streptophyta, Magnoliopsida, Poales, Poaceae. The record is from RefSeq and is a predicted model, not a curated record.